RNAcentral lists this ribosomal RNA (433 nucleotides) under uncultured bacterium. RNAcentral's name for it is "partial 16S ribosomal RNA". It matches the Rfam family "Bacterial small subunit ribosomal RNA", at positions 29 to 507 of the family's 1533-position model. The record is from RNAcentral.
AACGAACGCUGGCGGCAGGCUUAACACAUGCAAGUCGAGCGAGACCUUCGGGUCUAGCGGCGGACGGGUGAGUAACGCGUGGGAACGUGCCCUUCUCUACGGAAUAGCCCCGGGAAACUGGGAGUAAUACCGUAUACGCCCUUUGGGGGAAAGAUUUAUCGGAGAAGGAUCGGCCCGCGUUGGAUUAGGUAGUUGGUGGGGUAAUGGCCCACCAAGCCGACGAUCCAUAGCUGGUUUGAGAGGAUGAUCAGCCACACUGGGACUGAGACACGGCCCAGACUCCUACGGGAGGCAGCAGUGGGGGAUCUUAGACAAUGGGGGCAACCCUGAUCUAGCCAUGCCGCGGGAGUGAUGAAGGCCUUAGGGUUGUAAAGCUCUUUCAGCUGGGAAGAUAAUGACGGUACCAGCAGAAGAAGCCCCGGCUAACUCCGUG